UACGAAGGGGGCUAGCGUUGCUCGGAAUUACUGGGCGUAAAGGGCGCGUAGGCGGACAGCUUAGUCAGAGGUGAAAGCCCAGGGCUCAACCUUGGAACUGCCUUUGAUACUGGCUGUCUUGAGUUCGGGAGAGGUGUGUGGAACUCCGAGUGUAGAGGUGAAAUUCGUAGAUAUUCGGAAGAACACCAGUGGCGAAGGCGACACACUGGCCCGAUACUGACGCUGAGGCGCGAAAGCGUGGGGAGCAAACAGG
This 253-nucleotide ribosomal RNA is filed under the name uncultured bacterium. RNAcentral's name for it is "partial 16S ribosomal RNA". It matches the Rfam family "Bacterial small subunit ribosomal RNA", at positions 524 to 776 of the family's 1533-position model. The record is from RNAcentral.